Molecule: ribosomal RNA, 253 nt
Filed under: uncultured bacterium
Lineage: Bacteria
Description: partial 16S ribosomal RNA
Rfam family: Bacterial small subunit ribosomal RNA
Source: RNAcentral
UACGGAGGGUGCAAGCGUUGUUCGGAUUUAUUGGGCGUAAAGGGCGUGUAGGCGGUCUCGUAAGUCUGAUGUGAAAGCCCCGGGCUCAACCCAGGAAGUGCAUUCGAAACUGGCAGGCUUGAAUAUGGAAGAGGGUCGCGGAAUUCCCGGUGUAGAGGUGAAAUUCGUAGAUAUCGGGAGGAACACCAGUGGCGAAGGCGGCGACCUGGGCCAAUAUUGACGCUGAGGUGCGAAAGCGUGGGGAGCAAACAGG